RNAcentral lists this ribosomal RNA (543 nucleotides) under uncultured Sphingobacterium sp. Its description in RNAcentral is "bacterial SSU rRNA". It matches the Rfam family "Bacterial small subunit ribosomal RNA", at positions 28 to 567 of the family's 1533-position model. The record is from RNAcentral. Lineage: Bacteria; Pseudomonadati; Bacteroidota; Sphingobacteriia; Sphingobacteriales; Sphingobacteriaceae.
GAUGAACGCUAGCGGCAGGCCUAAUACAUGCAAGACGAACGGUAAGCGAGGUAGCAAUAUUUCGCCUAGAGUGUCGUAAGGGUGCGUAACACGUAUGCAAUCUGCCCCCAACAGGAGGAUAGCUCGGGGAAACCCGAAUUAACCCUUCAUAAUAUCACGUGAGGGCAUCCGAUUGUGAUUAAAACUGAGGUGGUUGGGGAUGAGCAUGCGUCUGAUUAGCUAGUUGGUAGGGUAAUGGCCUACCAAGGCGAUGAUCAGUAGGGGAACUGAGAGGUUGAUCCCCCACACUGGCACUGAGAUACGGGCCANACUCCUACGGGAGGCAGCAGUAGGGAAUAUUGGACAAUGGGUGCGAGCCUGAUCCAGCCAUGCCGCGUGCAGGAAGACGGCCUUCUGGGUUGUAAACUGCUUUUAUCANGGGAUAAAAAGCUCGUGCGCGAGCCAUUGAAGGUACCUGGUGAAUAAGCCACGGCUAACUACGUGCCAGCAGCCGCGGUAAUACNUAGGUGGCAAGCGUUGUCCGGAUUUAUUGGGUUUAAAGGG